UAAAAGCUUAUAUUUAGAUUUAAUUUUAAUUUGUGGUCUACACGCGCUGUCAGGUGUGAUUCCACGUCAUAUUUCAUUUUUUUACUAUAAAAAUUAAUUCCACAUCAUAUGUCAUUCAAUUCUUCUUCUUCUUUUCUUUUUCUUCAAUGGCUUCUUCUUCUUCUAUUUUUUUUUUCUUUUUCUUCAAUGGCAUAAUGAAUCAUAUGGAAUUCACAUAAUAGAUAAUCUUAUCAAAAUCAAAUCAACAAUAAGUGUCUCGCAUGCAAUUACAUCUUUAAUUUAUAAUACCGCAGACCCUUUUUUUUUUUCAUUUUUCUUCUUCUUCCUCCCCGUUUAAAACUUCAUUCGUUUUCACUCUGCUAGCAACCUUGUUGUUUUUUCAACCCCAAAUUUCAGUAUGUUUCUCCGGUUACCACUAUAAUUAGUUUUUACUUUUAUUGAUUCUCUAGAAGAAAUAAAAAUACGAUGAAAAGUACUUUCUUCCUUGCAAAAAUCUAACUUACUGUCUGUGGCCAUUUGCAUAGUAAAAAUCUAACUUACUUUUAAUCUGAAUUGAUUCAACAUUCUCACGUAAUUCGAAUUCUUGGAUGCCAUUGAAGAAGAUGAAGAAGAAGAAAAAAAAAAUGUCAUUGAUGAGUUCUUGGAUGUCAUUGAAGAAGAAGAAUAAGAAGAAGAAGAAUUGAAGAAAAAGAAAGAAAAAUAAUAAUUAUAAUAGAAGAAGAAGAAGCUGAAGAAAAAAUGUCAUUGAUGAGUUGUUAGAUGCCAUCGAAGAAGAGAGUGUGUUUCGCUCUCUUGCCAUGUCAGUGUUGGGGGUAAUAAUUCUAUUUUAAAAUAAUUCAGGGGAUUAUAGGACCCUUACAAAGAAUAAAUAUGUAGUUGACAUUUGAAGUAAAUAUUGUGGGGCUUUUGAUUAUUUUCUCUUUUUUUAAAAAUAUUUUAAUUAUAAAUGUAAUAUUUUAUUAAAAAAUUAACUUGAUUGAUGAUAUUUUAGAAUUUCAAAUCUGGGUAUUAUCAAUAUAUUCAUUUAAUACUUAAGGGUAAAAAAAAUAUAAUAUUUUUUUUUAAUUUUAUAAAUUAGAUAAUUCAUGGGCUAAGUAAAUGAAAGGGAGGGAAUAAUAUAUACAAAACUUAUAUUAGUAUAUGUUGUCCGAUUUUCAAACUUUUUGAAAGGAAACGAAUGAAGAAGAAAUUAAGGAGAUUCGACGUACAUUAUUCAUGCAAAAAUAUAAAUUUAGGCCUAGCUAUUUUUAUCUCUCCAAAUACAAUUGUCAAGAUUAAUGCUCGGCCGACCAUGAGUAUUUCUUAUUUUUUUCAUGAGUUGAAUUUGAAAUCAUGUUUGUCAAUAAAAAUAAAUUGAAAAAUAAAACUUCAACUUUAAGUUCAAUUUCUAAAUUUUUCGAAAUUUGCAAAAAAGAUGUUUUUACUUCAAAACUUUCUAAUCUUUUUAAAAAUAUAAAGGAACUCACACCCUUCUCCUUUUCAAAUCAACCGUGUCUCUCCUCUCUCUCGACAGUCUCUCACAACUCUCUCCCAACCAAUAGUUUUACAAAAUUUCUAUCUUCAAUCCACGACGACUUCAAGCUCCGACGACAAAUAGCUGGGUGAGUUCCUUUUCGACUUUCAACCGUCAAUCAACGUGACAAGCAGCGUUCUCCGGCAACAACAACUUCGAGUUCUUCGUCGUCCCAUUUCUUCUUUCACAAAUAAAAAAUUAUGUUUUUUUAGUUAUGAAGAAAAAGAGGAACUUGAGCCACUUUCUUCUAGUAUUGGUUAACAAUUUCAAUAUUUCUGGGAGAAAAUACUCAAUUACCCUUCUGAACUAUACUCAAAAGGGCUAUG
This 1839-nucleotide long non-coding RNA is filed under the name Capsicum annuum. RNAcentral describes it as "long non-coding RNA (CANN_LNC019753)". Lineage: Eukaryota; Viridiplantae; Streptophyta; Magnoliopsida; Solanales; Solanaceae. The record is from RNAcentral.